AUGAACGCUGGCGGCGUGCUUAACACAUGCAAGUCGAACGAUGAACUGGCGCUUGCGUUGGGGAUUAGUGGCGAACGGGUGAGUAACACGUGAGUAACCUGCCCUUAACUCUGGGAUAAGCCUGGGAAACUGGGUCUAAUACUGGAUAUUGACUUUUCCUCGCAUGGGGUUUGGUUGAAAGCUUUAGUGGUUUUGGAUGGACUCGCGGCCUAUCAGCUUGUUGGUGAGGUAAUGGCUCACCAAGGCGACGACGGGUAGCCGGCCUGAGAGGGUGACCGGCCACACUGGGACUGAGACACGGCCCAGACUCCUACGGGAGGCAGCAGUGGGGAAUAUUGCACAAUGGGCGAAAGCCUGAUGCAGCGACGCCGCGUGAGGGAUGACG
Molecule: ribosomal RNA, 385 nt
Filed under: uncultured bacterium
Lineage: Bacteria
Description: bacterial SSU rRNA
Rfam family: Bacterial small subunit ribosomal RNA
Source: RNAcentral